AACCUAGCACACCUGCGGUGUGUACCUGCGGAGGGAUCAUUACCGAGUUUACGAACUCCCAACCCUUUGUGAACCUUACCAUAUUGUUGCUUCGGCGGGACCGCCCCGGCGCCUUCGGGCCCGGAACCAGGCGCCCGCCGGAGGCCCCAAACUCUUAUGUCUUUAGUGGUUUUCUCCUCUGAGUGACACAUAAACAAAUAAAUAAAAACUUUCAACAACGGAUCUCAGAUCGGAAGAGCA
Molecule: unclassified non-coding RNA, 240 nt
Filed under: soil metagenome
Description: partial contains 5.8S ribosomal RNA, internal transcribed spacer 2, and large subunit ribosomal RNA
Source: RNAcentral